GACGAACGCUGGCGGCGUGCUUAACACAUGCAAGUCGAACGGAAAGGCCCUGCUUUUGUGGGGAACUCGAGUGGCGAACGGGUGAGUAACACGUGAGUAACCUGCCCUUGACUUUGGGAUAACUUCAGGAAACUGGGGCUAAUACCGGAUAGGAGCUCCUGCUGCAUGGUGGGGGUUGGAAAGUUUCGGCGGCUGGGGAUGGACUCGCGGCUUAUCAGCUUGUUGGUGGGGUAGUGGCUUACCAAGGCUUCGACGGGUAGCCGGCCUGAGAGGGUGACCGGCCACAUUGGGACUGAGAUACGGCCCAGACUCCUACGGGAGGCAGCAGUGGGGAAUAUUGCACAAUGGGCGGAAGCCUGAUGCAGCAACGCCGCGUGCGGGAUGACGGCCUUCGGGUUGUGAACCGCUUUCGCCUGUGACGAAGCGUGAGUGACGGUAAUGGGUAAAGAAGCACCGGCCAACUACGUG
This 468-nucleotide ribosomal RNA is filed under the name uncultured bacterium. RNAcentral's name for it is "partial 16S ribosomal RNA". It matches the Rfam family "Bacterial small subunit ribosomal RNA", at positions 28 to 507 of the family's 1533-position model. The record is from RNAcentral.